Molecule: unclassified non-coding RNA, 219 nt
Filed under: Hevea brasiliensis (rubber tree)
Lineage: Eukaryota; Viridiplantae; Streptophyta; Magnoliopsida; Malpighiales; Euphorbiaceae
Source: RNAcentral
AAAAAAAAAAAACAGAAAGAAAAAGGGGAAGGAGGAGGGAAGGGGGGGUAAGAGCUGUAGCAGUGGCUUUGGCUGCUCUUCAAAGAGGGGAAUGUGCAUUAAUAAUUGAAACAAUUGCGUCCUCUGAUAUCUCAUUGAAUGCUAUAUUUUACAAAUAUUUACCAAUCCAAGAUAAGGGCAUAGGCCUUCUCCUGAUCUUCUCCAUGAAUGAUAGAAGCA